GAUCCUGGCUCAGGACGAACGCUGGCGGCGUGCCUAACACAUGCAAGUCGAACGAGGCCACUCCUUCGGGAGUGAGUCGAGUGGCGGACGGGUGAGUAACACGUGAGCAAUCUACCCUUGUGCGGGGGAUAACCCGGGGAAACCCGGGCUAAUACCGCAUGUUUCGGGAGAACGACAUCGUUUUCCCGGGAAACGUGGCCUCUUUACAAUGCUACGGCGCAGGGAGGAGCUCGCGGGCUAUCAGCUAGUUGGUGAGGUAACGG
RNAcentral lists this ribosomal RNA (263 nucleotides) under uncultured bacterium. RNAcentral's name for it is "partial 16S ribosomal RNA". It matches the Rfam family "Bacterial small subunit ribosomal RNA", at positions 15 to 263 of the family's 1533-position model. The record is from RNAcentral.